Molecule: long non-coding RNA, 612 nt
Filed under: Zea mays
Lineage: Eukaryota; Viridiplantae; Streptophyta; Magnoliopsida; Poales; Poaceae
Description: long non-coding RNA (ZMAY_LNC005044)
Source: RNAcentral
GAAAAUGCAAUUAUGUAGUUUGCAGUUAUAUGGUUUUGCAUACCUGUAUCUAUUUGUGUAAUACAUUUGCCUGUAUAUAUGCAACUUAUAUCCAUCAUUCUUCAUGUCUGCAGAUGACUGCAUCUUCAUGUAUGAAGGGCUACCUAUUCAUGUUUUCUUCAUUUAUGUAGGUAUGCAUAUGACUGAAGAUGACUAAACAGGACAUUCUUCAGUUAUACAGGUAUGCAGGUUUUGUUUAACUAUUUUCGGAUAUUCAAAUUAUAUAUAGCCAUUUUUCUUAUUUUUUUGGUCCUUUGUGUCAGAAAGGAGUUCCGGCCUAUACUGCUCCACAACCAGAAGAGGCAAUGACUGCUCUCAAACAAAGAGCUUCGGAGUUGGGUGUAUGUCUUUUGGGGUUGUUUCUAUUAGAUAUGAUACUUAAUGCAGUGUUGGUUUAUGAAGAUCUCUCUCCAAGUCGUUGGUCCUCUGGAGCCCCAUCACCUAAAAGGUCAACAUCUUGGGCUCCAUGGAUAUCGGCAAGUUUGUGCCACAAAAAGCUUGUUUACGAUGGCGUAGAAGGCCAGUACACAAUCUUUGUUUUUUUGAUUAUGUGUAUUUAGUAAAUUGUCGAGA